UUUUUAUGAGAGUUUGAUCCUGGCUCAGGACGAACGCUGGCGGCGUGCCUAAUACAUGCAAGUCGAACGCUUCUUUUUCCACCGGAGCUUGCUCCACCGGAAAAAGAGGAGUGGCGAACGGGUGAGUAACACGUGGGUAACCUGCCCAUCAGAAGGGGAUAACACUUGGAAACAGGUGCUAAUACCGUAUAACAAUCGAAACCGCAUGGUUUUGAUUUGAAAGGCGCUUUCGGGUGUCGCUGAUGGAUGGACCCGCGGUGCAUUAGCUAGUUGGUGAGGUAACGGCUCACCAAGGCCACGAUGCAUAGCCGACCUGAGAGGGUGAUCGGCCACAUUGGGACUGAGACACGGCCCAAACUCCUACGGGAGGCAGCAGUAGGGAAUCUUCGGCAAUGGACGAAAGUCUGACCGAGCAACGCCGCGUGAGUGAAGAAGGUUUUCGGAUCGUAAAACUCUGUUGUUAGAGAAGAACAAGGAUGAGAGUAACUGUUCAUCCCUUGACGGUAUCUAACCAGAAAGCCACGGCUAACUACGUGCCAGCAGCCGCGGUAAUACGUAGGUGGCAAGCGUUGUCCGGAUUUAUUGGGCGUAAAGCGAGCGCAGGCGGUUUCUUAAGUCUGAUGUGAAAGCCCCCGGCUCAACCGGGGAGGGUCAUUGGAAACUGGGAGACUUGAGUGCAGAAGAGGAGAGUGGAAUUCCAUGUGUAGCGGUGAAAUGCGUAGAUAUAUGGAGGAACACCAGUGGCGAAGGCGGCUCUCUGGUCUGUAACUGACGCUGAGGCUCGAAAGCGUGGGGAGCAAACAGGAUUAGAUACCCUGGUAGUCCACGCCGUAAACGAUGAGUGCUAAGUGUUGGAGGGUUUCCGCCCUUCAGUGCUGCAGCUAACGCAUUAAGCACUCCGCCUGGGGAGUACGACCGCAAGGUUGAAACUCAAAGGAAUUGACGGGGGCCCGCACAAGCGGUGGAGCAUGUGGUUUAAUUCGAAGCAACGCGAAGAACCUUACCAGGUCUUGACAUCCUUUGACCACUCUAGAGAUAGAGCUUCCCCUUCGGGGGCAAAGUGACAGGUGGUGCAUGGUUGUCGUCAGCUCGUGUCGUGAGAUGUUGGGUUAAGUCCCGCAACGAGCGCAACCCUUAUUGUUAGUUGCCAUCAUUCAGUUGGGCACUCUAGCAAGACUGCCGGUGACAAACCGGAGGAAGGUGGGGAUGACGUCAAAUCAUCAUGCCCCUUAU
Molecule: ribosomal RNA, 1233 nt
Filed under: Enterococcus sp. HMSC077E04
Lineage: Bacteria; Bacillati; Bacillota; Bacilli; Lactobacillales; Enterococcaceae
Also listed under: 1 other name
Description: partial 16S ribosomal RNA
Rfam family: Bacterial small subunit ribosomal RNA
Source: RNAcentral